CCCUUAGAUGUUCUGGGCCGCACGCGCGCUACACUGAUUCAUGCAACAAGUUUUGUCCUUGGCUGAUAGGCCUGGGUAAUCUUUGAACGUGAAUCGUGAUGGGGAUAGAUGAUUGCAAUUAUUCAUCUUCAACGAGGAAUUCCUAGUAAACGCAAGUCAUCAGCUUGCAUUGAUUACGUCCCUGCCCUUUGUACACACCGCCCGUCGCACCUACCGAUUGAAUGGUCCGGUGAAAUCUUCGGAUCUGAGAGAUGUCUGAUUAAUUUCGGACGCCUUUUGGAAAAGUUGUUUAAACCUUACCAUUUAGAGGAAGGUGAAGUAGUAACA
This 327-nucleotide ribosomal RNA is filed under the name uncultured eukaryote. RNAcentral describes it as "partial 18S ribosomal RNA". It matches the Rfam family "Eukaryotic small subunit ribosomal RNA", at positions 1470 to 1796 of the family's 1831-position model. The record is from RNAcentral.